RNAcentral lists this ribosomal RNA (442 nucleotides) under uncultured bacterium. RNAcentral describes it as "partial 16S ribosomal RNA". It matches the Rfam family "Bacterial small subunit ribosomal RNA", at positions 338 to 795 of the family's 1533-position model. The record is from RNAcentral.
CCUACGCGCGGCAGCAGUGGGGGAUAUUGCACAAUGGGGGAAAGCCUGAUGCAGCGACGCCGCGUGUGCGAAGAAGUAUUUCGGUAUGUAAAGCACUAUCAGCAGGGAAGAAGAAAUGGCGGUACCUGAGUAAGACGCACCGGCUAAAUACGUGCCAGCAGCCGCGGUAAUACGUAUGGUGCAAGCGUUAUCCGGCUUUACUGGGUGUAAAGGGAGCGCAGGCGGCCCGGCAAGUCCGAUGUGAAAGCCCCGGGCCCAACCGGGGGACUGCAUUGGGUACUAGCGGGCUGGAGUGCCGGAGAGGUGGGCAGAAUUCCUGGUGUAGCGGUGAAAUGCGUAGAGAUUAGGAGGAACACCAGUGGCGAAGGCGGCCCACUGGACGGAGACUGACGCUGAGGUGCGAAAGCGUGGGGAGCAAACAGGAUUAGAUACCCCUGUAGUC